RNAcentral lists this long non-coding RNA (1306 nucleotides) under Phascolarctos cinereus (koala). Its description in RNAcentral is "lncRNA (ENSPCIG00000021960.2)". Lineage: Eukaryota; Metazoa; Chordata; Mammalia; Diprotodontia; Phascolarctidae. The record is from RNAcentral.
UUUCUAACCCCGCCAGCCCCAGCCACCUAUUGCAGAUUCCUCUAGGGUUCACUUGAUGAGAGCCAUCCUUGAGCCGAAGCUGACAACAACCUGGUUGUUGCAGGUAAUCUGGCGGGAAGUUUUUAAAUUGCCCGACGUCUGGCUUGAUGACGCACUGACGUUGGAACUGAGGGGCUUUUUUCCCGAGGCUUUGUGGGACUUGUAGUCCUUUGGCGCAGGACUUGGAGGUGAAGGUAGGGCUGGGGGAGCGGGCCCCCCCCGGGUUCAGUUGCAGAUGCACUUUGAGAGAAGGAGAAGGCAGGGGAUUCCUGCAGAAAAAGCGCAUUACGCUGCCCUUUCCUUCUCUUCUCCCCCCUCCCCCCGCCCGUUUUUUGGCUCGGACAUUUGGGGAACUUCAGGCAGCCGUUGAAGGGCAGGUAAAGGAAGAGCCAAAGAGGCGGUCACCUAGAUUAUCUGCUAAGCCUGUUCCUCCUAAAUCUGAGCCCAAAACCAAAAAGGCAGCAGCCCCAAAGAAAGUGAACGUAGCAAAUGAUAAAAAGGAAAUCAAAGGCAAGAAAGGGGCUGCCAAAGUCAAAGUGGAAACCAAGCAGGAGGAAGUGAAAGAAGAAAACCACUCUGAAAAUGGAGAGACCCAAACUAAUGAGGUGCCAGCUGUGGAAGAACCCGAGGAGAAAGUAACCAAGCCUGAGUAAUACGUAACACUGCCCUAUAUCUCCAUCAGUUUGGUAUCUGUAACUCCAUCCUGUAUUGUCGACAGAGAGGAAUAUUUUUAUCAACUAUUUUCUAAAUGCAGGUUUUUUUUUUUUAGCAUGAAGUUAAUUUUGGAACGUCUCCAUCUUGGUCGCUUGGGUAUGAUGUCACCAACAACAUAUCACUGUCUCUGCAUUUUGUGAUUGUAAUAGUUUGAUCUAUGGGAAGAAUAAGUGGUGGUAGCUUCUGACUUUUGUCACUGUGUACCCUUCCUUGUGUAAGCUAUCCUUUCCGUCCUUUGAAUUUUUCUUUGGCCCUGGUACAUGUUUAAUUCAGUGAAGUGGGGAGGCCCCAAGUAGAAAGUUCUUGCAUCGGCUAGUCCGGGGUGUCUGUGGGUUGAUUUUAUAAAGAAGGUGAGCUAUUUUCAUGAAAUUCUAAGAGUUGGAAAUAUCUUUCCCAAAUAUAACUUUAAUAUUAGUUUUUGAAAGAAAGUAAAAUGUAAUCAUGUUUUUAAAUGAAAUACAAAUGUUUAUUUCAGAAGGGCAGGUUGAUUGUAUGUGUAGCCACUAUUAGAAAUUUUGCUGGAUUUAUCUUAAUAAAAUAAAAAGACUCCUCA